Long non-coding RNA from Trichomycterus rosablanca, 965 nucleotides. RefSeq lists it as uncharacterized. The record is from RefSeq and is a predicted model, not a curated record. Lineage: Eukaryota; Metazoa; Chordata; Actinopteri; Siluriformes; Trichomycteridae. The transcript is spliced from 4 exons.
GGAGCGGGUCUCCUGUACCUCUCUGCUGCUGCACCAACACCAGCAUGGGCAGAAAAAUCAAGACAUCUUCGAGGAGAACUUAGACAGGCUUUUCCUAAGUGCAGUGUUUUUGUGAGAGACCAGACCGCCUAGCUCUGGAACAAGUACAUUUGCCUCCCCCUGCCAUCAAGGGAAGCAUUCAGUGCCCUCUGUACCCCCCCCCCCCCUCCAAUGUAGGGGGUGGGAGAAGAGAAAAAUGACGUACCAGAGGCUAGAGCUCUUGUGCCAGUGGGGACAAAAAGGCUGCCAGUCACCACAAUCCCCACAGAUGCUGAAGAUUGAAGCUGAAUGAGGGGCUGUGCUCCGAGGAAGCCAUCUUGAUAGAGACACACUGGCUGCCUGCUUCCUAAAAUGGCUGUGUUGGCAUGAGCCUCUGUUGAUGGUGACAUCCAGCUGAUCAGACUAUUUCCUGACAAGUCAUCACCCAGCGUUUUGAUCCAGAAGGCUAAUCGAUCACCCGUUCCAGCUUCUGAUCUCCUCUGAGCUCUUCUGGCUAUUUUAUAGUAGACAAUCAAACCAAUUUGCAAUGAAGCAUUUUUUCAGUUUUAUAAACACACUGGGUGUAGAGACUGUACAGGAAACCAGCUAAUAAAAUGUGCCUUAAUGUGUGAACUGUUUACAAUACAAUGCAAAAAGAAUUCACAUCUGAGUACAGUAUAAUUAACAAAUGUGCUCGGUAUUUUAUUUUAACUGUGUUGUUAAUGUUUUUAAGAGUAAACGAAAGAUUCCUUAAUGAUAACAAUUAUAUUUACUUCAUCUUGUCUUUAGUUUUGGGAGGAAAAAAUCAUCUCUGUAUAAUCAGGAUAUAAUAAUGGCUUGUAAAUGCAGAAGUAAUAAGACACUUGGUUGUUUCUAUUGUAUAACAUUAUUAAUUGAUAUCCAUACCUUUAAAUUAAUUAAUAAACAUGUGCAAUAUAAAACUAGUA